Non-coding RNA from Salvelinus sp. IW2-2015, 495 nucleotides. The record is from RefSeq and is a predicted model, not a curated record. NCBI's taxonomy places the organism in Eukaryota, Metazoa, Chordata, Actinopteri, Salmoniformes, Salmonidae.
AUGGAGAUCCCUGUGUAGGAACCUACAAGUACCUGGAUGUGGCUUACACCUGUGGCUAAAUGUGAGGCACGCACGCAUACGGAGAUCUUCUGAGGAACAAAGACCAGAGACUUCUUGGAUAUCUUCCUCUUCAUUGGGUGGAUUUGUCUUUCUUUCCUGUCCUCUCUCCUCCUUUGAAAUCUCAAUUAAAUGUAAAAUCUGUAAAUUGCAUAUUUCCAUGUCAAUUCAAGAUUUGUAUAUCACAUUGUGUAUUUGGUCAUAGGCAUAAUUUGUGUGUAGUAACAUGUUUUGAAAUGAGGCCCCUCUGGAUCCUUAUCCCUGGUGCUACAGCAAGGCACAGUCAAGAGGAUGAAUGGAGAAAUAAACCAUUAACCCCAAAAAAUGAACUUUACUUCAAAUAACAUUGUUACCAUAAUACUUAGUGCACUUUGUGUACUAAAGUAUUUCUUCUGAACUGUGCUGUUUGAUCUGAAUUAAACUAUUCAGCAUAGACAA